This 284-nucleotide long non-coding RNA is filed under the name Helianthus annuus (common sunflower). Its description in RNAcentral is "hypothetical non coding rna". Lineage: Eukaryota; Viridiplantae; Streptophyta; Magnoliopsida; Asterales; Asteraceae. The record is from RNAcentral.
GAAAAGUCAAUAAAAGAUUAUGUUAUGACAGUUAUGUUUUCAAUACACUUUUUUUGAAAGGCAAACUUUUAUUCCACACCAACAUAUAUACAAGGGAUCCAACAAGUAGCUAUAUGUCCUGUCUUCAACAAUCGAUUUGCCACAGGUAGCGACAACAGGAACCAAUGCCUGAGAAGAAUGAGUUGCUCUAGCGAUAACAAAUUUAAACUUAAGAUUACUUUCAAGUCUUUCGAGAAACUUGAGGUAUCUAGAGCUCCAACGGAGGUUCUACGAUGAAUGGUAAU